This 253-nucleotide ribosomal RNA is filed under the name uncultured bacterium. RNAcentral describes it as "partial 16S ribosomal RNA". It matches the Rfam family "Bacterial small subunit ribosomal RNA", at positions 524 to 776 of the family's 1533-position model. The record is from RNAcentral.
UACGUAGGGCGCAAGCGUUGUCCGGAAUUAUUGGGCGUAAAGAGCUCGUAGGCGGUUUGUCGCGUCGGCUGUGAAAACCCGAGGCUCAACCUCGGGCCUGCAGUCGAUACGGGCAGACUAGAGUGUGGUAGGGGAGACUGGAAUUCCUGGUGUAGCGGUGAAAUGCGCAGAUAUCAGGAGGAACACCCAUGGCGAAGGCAGCUCUCUGGCCUCACCCUGACGCUGAGGCGCGAAAGCGUGGGGAGCGAACGGG